This 495-nucleotide ribosomal RNA is filed under the name uncultured bacterium. RNAcentral describes it as "partial 16S ribosomal RNA". It matches the Rfam family "Bacterial small subunit ribosomal RNA", at positions 28 to 507 of the family's 1533-position model. The record is from RNAcentral.
GACGAACGCUGGCGGCGUGCCUAAUACAUGCAAGUAGAACGCUGAAGGAGGAGCUUGCUCUUCUGGAUGAGUUGCGAACGGGUGAGUAACGCGUAGGUAACCUGCCUGGUAACGGGGGAUAACUAUUGGAAACGAUAGCUAAUACCGCAUAAGAGUAGAUGUUGCAUGACAUUUACUUAAAAGGUGCAAUUGCAUCACUACCAGAUGGACCUGCGUUGUAUUAGCUAGUUGGUGGGGUAACGGCUUACCAAGGCGACGAUACAUAGCCGACCUGAGAGGGUGAUCGGCCACACUGGGACUGAGACACGGCCCAGACUCCUACGGGAGGCAGCAGUAGGGAAUCUUCGGCAAUGGACGGAAGUCUGACCGAGCAACGCCGCGUGAGUGAAGAAGGUUUUCGGAUCGUAAAGCUCUGUUGUAAGAGAAGAACGAGUGUGAGAGUGGAAAGUUCACACUGUGACGGUAUCUUACCAGAAAGGGACGGCUAACUACGUG